Molecule: transfer RNA, 93 nt
Organism: Fistulina hepatica ATCC 64428
Lineage: Eukaryota; Fungi; Basidiomycota; Agaricomycetes; Agaricales; Fistulinaceae
Rfam family: tRNA
About the family: Transfer RNA (tRNA) molecules are approximately 80 nucleotides in length.
Source: Rfam
UCGGAUAUGGUGUAACGGCUAACAUUCGCGCCUUUCAUUCUGAACAGUGAUAUUGUAUCGCGCGAGCUCGGGGUUCGAUUCCCCGUAUCCGAA